This 390-nucleotide unclassified non-coding RNA is filed under the name soil metagenome. Its description in RNAcentral is "partial contains 5.8S ribosomal RNA, internal transcribed spacer 2, and large subunit ribosomal RNA". The stretch from base 1 to 122 matches the Rfam family "5.8S ribosomal RNA", at positions 35 to 154 of the family's 154-position model. The record is from RNAcentral.
GAUGAAGAACGUAGUGAAAUGCGAUACUUGGUGUGAAUUGCAGAAUCCCGUGAACCAUCGAGUCUUUGAACGCAAGUUGCGCCCGAAGCCACUAGGCCGAGGGCACGCCUGCCUGGGCGUCACACGCCGUUGCCCCCCCAUCUACUCCUUCGGGAUUGCGGGGGGGCGGAUGAUGGCCUCCCGUGCGCCUAGCCGCGCGGUUGGCAUAAAUACCAAGUCCUCGGCGACGCACGCCACGACAAUCGGUGGUUGCGAAACCUCGGUUGCCCGUCGUGUGCGUUCGUCGCGCAUCGAGGGCUCGAAAAAAUGCUCGGCUCCGGCUGGGCUUUCAACGCGACCCCAGGUCAGGCGGGGUUACCCGCUGAAUUUAAGCAUAUCAAUAAGCGGAGG